UGGGGAAUAUUGGACAAUGGGCGCAAGCCUGAUCCAGCCAUGCCGCGUGUGUGAAGAAGGCCUUUUGGUUGUAAAGCACUUUAAGCGAGGAGGAGGCUACUUGGAUUAAUACUCUAGGAUAGUGGACGUUACUCGCAGAAUAAGCACCGGCUAACUCUGUGCCAGCAGCCGCGGUAAUACAGAGGGUGCGAGCGUUAAUCGGAUUUACUGGGCGUAAAGCGUGCGUAGGCGGCUUCUUAAGUCGGAUGUGAAAUCCCUGAGCUUAACUAGGAAUUGCAUUCGAUACUGGGAAGCUAGAGUAUGGGAGAGGAUGGUAGAAUUCCAGGUGUAGCGGUGAAAUGCGUAGAGAUCUGGAGGAAUACCGAUGGCGAAGGCAGCCAUCUGGCCUAAUACUGACGCUGAGGUACGAAAGCAUGGGGAGCAAACAGG
This 429-nucleotide ribosomal RNA is filed under the name bacterium. RNAcentral's name for it is "partial 16S ribosomal RNA". It matches the Rfam family "Bacterial small subunit ribosomal RNA", at positions 355 to 776 of the family's 1533-position model. The record is from RNAcentral.